UAAGUCUUUGUAGUACACUUAAUACACUGGUCUUGUAAACCAGAAAAGGAGAAUAAUUAAUCUCCCUAAGA
Molecule: transfer RNA, 71 nt
Filed under: Rangifer tarandus caribou
Lineage: Eukaryota; Metazoa; Chordata; Mammalia; Artiodactyla; Cervidae
Description: tRNA-Thr
Source: RNAcentral